GCAUAACGCGAAGAACCUUACCCACCUUUGACAUGUACGGAAUCCUUUAGAGAUAGAGGAGUGCUCGAAAGAGAGCCGUAACACAGGUGCUGCAUGGCUGUCGUCAGCUCGUGUCGUGAGAUGUUGGGUUAAGUCCCGCAACGAGCGCAACCCUUGCCAUUAGUUGCUACAUUUAGUUGAGCACUCUAAUGGGACUGCCGGUGACAAACCGGAGGAAGGUGGGGAUGACGUCAAGUCCUCAUGGCCCUUAUAGGUGGGGCUACACACGUCAUACAAUGGCUGGUACAAAGGGCUGCCAACCCGCGAGGGGAGCUAAUCCCAUAAAGCCAGUCGUAGUCCGGAUCGCAGUCUGCAACUCGACUGCGUGAAGUCGGAAUCGCUAGUAAUCGUGGAUCAGAAUGUCACGGUGAAUACGUUCUCGGGUCUUGUACACACCG
RNAcentral lists this ribosomal RNA (437 nucleotides) under uncultured bacterium. RNAcentral's name for it is "bacterial SSU rRNA". It matches the Rfam family "Bacterial small subunit ribosomal RNA", at positions 954 to 1392 of the family's 1533-position model. The record is from RNAcentral.